GUUACAUUCUCUUUCCACUGAAAAGGAAAAAAAUUGUCUUAGCGUUAGUCAUUUUGACAGAAGCGUAAUGGUGACUGAGGUCCUGCACUAUAUUCAGAGUUGCAUCAGGAGUAAAAGCACAACCCAGUUCCUAGAAAAUGCAAAAUUAUACUUCCCCAGAAUUAGAACUAAGAGUUAGCAGUUCUUAAAACUACCAGUUGCAGUAAUAUGUCUCUAGCUUACUGGAAACAAAUGAGAAAGGCAUGAGUCCAAGGCAGAUAUCUAAGGACAAGAAACAGGAAACGCUUCUUAUUUCUGUACAAUUAUUAUACUUAUUUGUAGAAAGCAGAGAUUUUCAGUGCAAAGCCAAUAAUAAUGGUUAAGUGUUAGUCUUGUAAAGCUCUGUGAUAUCCAGAUGCCAUGAAGGGUUACUGCAAGCUGCAGUGAUAAAGGUUAGCACAAACUGGAAAUCACUGUCAUUGUUAACACAACAAUACAGCUGAAUCAUCACAUACAACAGUCAUUUCUUUAUGUGCUAACAUUCAACACUUUCCCAUCUCCCAGUCUAGACCUACAGUUGUCUCUUGUACUCACUAUAGUUGAAAUGAUGUCUUCAAGGGGCUGAAUCCUUGCUGCAGUUACGCUGUUGGUUGCUUCCACAACCUUUUCUCUUCCUUGAUUAAUGAGGUCCUCCAGCUGUUGAUUGCUCAUCGCUGACAGAGCGCCCAAAUUGAAAGGAAUAUAUGGUGUUUGAGAGUUGAAAUUAGUGGGAAGCAUGUUGGUCCCUGUCGGCAUGUUGAAACGCAUGGUCAAGCCCUUCUUUUCUGCUUCAUAUUCUGCCCAGGCCGCCUUCCUUUCCUCUUCAGUGAGCUCCUCUUCCUCCUUAUGGUCCAGGAGUGAAUCAUGCUCGUGAUACCCUACUAUAUACUCUUUAUUGAUUUGGAGCAAUUCUGCCAAGAUUGUAUCUUUUGGCAACAUCGGUGUAUCCCUCUUCUUUUUCUUUUCUGAAUUAGGAUCAUCCAGCAAAUCCGG
This 1011-nucleotide long non-coding RNA is filed under the name Gallus gallus (chicken). Lineage: Eukaryota; Metazoa; Chordata; Aves; Galliformes; Phasianidae. The record is from RNAcentral.